AAUUUCAUUCAGUAUUCCUACAAAAAAAUCAUAUAAUUUUAAUAAUUAAUAAUAAUAAUAAUUUAUUCGACUAAAAACAAACAUUGUACAAACAAAUCGAAAUAAAAUAACAUAACUGGUGUAGCAAACACCCACGCAUGCACAAUACAUGUUUAUCAUCAUAGACUAAAUGAAGCCCCAAAGGUAAUAUAAAAAAAGGUUAUAUUCACUGUAUCAGGGGUUUCCCCAUAAACAAAUUCUAUUCUAACUGAUAACAAAUAUUAGUAAGUGAAAAACCUACUCACAGUUACAAUUAUUAUCAAAUACUAAAUAGUAGCAGUGAAUAACAUGGAAAUUAUACUGUUUGCAUUUGUGACUGAUUGAGCAAUUCAAACUAGGAAAGGAGUUCUUAGAAUCAUCCAAAGAAUUCGAAGUAGCUAGAAUAACCUGAGAUUUUCAAUGAUCUGAAAAAAUUGAACAAUAAUAGGAAUAUGUUUCUGACUUGUCUUGGACACAAUCUUACGCCGUAGCAAAGCAAGUGCUGAGAGGGUGAACCCGUCUAGCGAGUUGGACUGCUUCUGGGGAAGUUGAAUGCUCAUGCCUACUGUAUACAGACAGUUACAGUUAUUUUGAAAAACUGGUCUUGAUCUUCCCCUCCAUGAUCAAGGACACCUACGUUGUUUCUCGAACGCAAGUGUAUGUUGGUAUCGACACGAAAGUAGACUCGAACAUUAUUGAUGAUGAAGGAAAAAGGGUGAACGUUUCGGGUUUUUCCAUUCCUUCAGGUUGAUAUUUCUCUGUUCAGAAUCAAAUGAUGCAUUCAAGUUAAAUAGGAAUUGUGGAAAAUAUUGUAGAUAAGAAAUAACUCCAUAUUGAUUUAAACAUUCAUUUAAUUGAAAGGAAAGAUUCCUGAAAAAAUUUCAAGUGUUAUCAAUUCAACUUUACUCAUGAAAUUAAAGUAAUUUAUUAAUUGCUGGAAAUCGACUAAAGUAUUCUCUCAAAUACGGUUGCAGCAUUAACUAUUAUCAGCAAAUCAAUAGGUGAUGGACUCAUGGAGAUUCGAAUUGAUAGUCUUAGUCGGAAUAUAUUUUCUCUUCUGUUAAUGGAAAAUAAUACUUUGCUACCAUAUAUUCUGUUUUCUAUAGAGAAGAAGUCUUCGAAAGUCGGUUCUGUUAUAUUUAUCAGUGAGGAUAUUACAAGGUUAUGAUUUCUGUACAGUCUAUACCAUUUCUUAUCUGGAUGACGUGAAUUUGCCAUUUUACUAAUAUUUCUACACUCAAUUAUCUUGAAGGCGUACAUUGAAACAUUCCGUUUCAAUAUUCGAAGCAAGAAUGUAGAAUGUUAUUAGAAACAAACCUGACCGUUACAUUUCAGAUAGUUAGUUUACCCUCAGGAUGCUCUCCCUCCGAUUCCAUCCUCUCUGAACACAGUAUCUGUGAGUCGAGUGAUUGUUGGGAACCUGUUGGAAGCUGCGAGCAGCUAAGAAGUGAUCACUUUUGUCGACUACAGGUUGCUGAGUUGACCUCCUUGCAGCGAAGGUGACUGGUACCUGACCAGAGGGUGCGGGCAGCAGAUCCGGUUGUGCCUUUGUUGUCACUAAUUAUUAUGCCUGCUCACUGCUUCCCAGUGACGCAUCACUAGCGUGGGUACAGCGACAUCGCUUCACUUGCUAAGAAGCAGUAUAACUCAGUCGGUGUGAGGCUCUGGAUACAUCAACACAUCAUGUAUCGAGUAGUGUAUCCUGAUACUUCAAAGUGGAAAAUGAGGGUCAUAAGAAUCGCAUGCUACAAUUUCGAGUUACAUGAUGUUGGAGGUGAUUGAAUGGAAGACAACAGAAUGAUCGACUGGACGUAAUGUUUCCUAAGUUGAACACCCUGAUGAUGGUUACUGAUGAUGAUGGUUCUGAUCAUGGUUACUACUUGCAGGAUUAUUCAAGGUACAACCAAGCAGUAGGGAGUAUCCUGUGGUAGCCUCGUCAACUUUCUGGAGCGUUAUCAUGGCAACGUCUGAAAUUAAUUUCAGCUGAUGACGACCAAGUCUAAUGGCAGCGACGUGUGCGUAUGAGGCAACAUCAGCAGCCUUUCUGCGAUGGAGGCCUCUGAAGCUUCAACUCCAGGAGGAAGUUUGAUACAUUCAACAUCCUGGCUUCACUGUUCCUCGCAGAACAACUUUCCAUUAACAAUUUCGACAGGUUGAAGAGCUGUGGAGUCCUGCAGGUGAAAAAUACGUUCAGCGUUACUGUUUCCGGAGCUAUAUUGGAAGAAGGAGAUUCUUGGAGAUUGGAGAAGGGUGAAAAGACGAAGAUCUCACUGGACCAGUGGUUGAUGAUCGUUCUGCUUCCAGAUGAAUGAAUCGAGAUGAGAUGUCCCAGAGAUGUAGUAACAGGGUGUAGAGUGAUCGAUUCUUGCAAGAAUAUCCUG
Molecule: long non-coding RNA, 2399 nt
Filed under: Nilaparvata lugens (brown planthopper)
Lineage: Eukaryota; Metazoa; Arthropoda; Insecta; Hemiptera; Delphacidae
Description: uncharacterized LOC111064209, transcript variant X3
Source: RNAcentral